Long non-coding RNA from Clupea harengus (Atlantic herring), 1163 nucleotides. The record is from Ensembl. NCBI's taxonomy places the organism in Eukaryota, Metazoa, Chordata, Actinopteri, Clupeiformes, Clupeidae.
CCAAAUGUAACGAUUGUUUUGAUAUGUGGAAAAGAAGACUAUAUUCCUUCUUGAUUAAAAAAGCUGGACUCUUAAAAUGUUAUUCCAUUUCUUAUUGUGAUUUCUUAAGGCGAUAUGUAACAAAUCUUUUUCAAUUCAUCAAUUCAUGUUCAUGAUGUUUUUUUUUUACAGAAAAAUAAAAUGAUAUCACUUAACGCAUGAAAAUGAACCUGUUUUUAAUGAAUAACCAUCAUGACUCUUUACUUGUGUGUCUGUUCAUAGUGAAAGAGUGUGAACAGCAAAACCUAAAGUGAAUACAAUUUCAGAAAAAUCACAAGGCCUGACAGAGGACAAAAACUUUUUUAAUGUAAAUAAUUCAUGUGCAAGAGGAUUUUUUAAAGACUAAUAAAGUAUAACAGUUAAUGCAAGAUAAUUUCAAUUAAUUUCAAUUCCAGUUUUAUAACGGCAAAACAAUAAAAUUGUCUUAAGACGCUUUCCAGAGCUCAGGGCCUGAACCCUGAGAAUGAACAUGUUUGUACUGAACAACUACCACGGCGCUUUACACUUGGAAAUGGACGACGCUCCUUCUGUUCUAGGGUCUGUGCAUUCAGAGCUCCUUCUGUUCUAGGGUCUACUCUAGGGUCUAGGCAUUCAGAGCUCCUACUGUUCUAGGUUCUAGGCAUUCAGAGUGGAGUUUAAUCUUCCAGGGCUGAAUCCUGAGACUCUGACAUACAGUCUGUCUAAUGGAGGUCUUCAAGACAGCAACAUUACUGAUGACUGAAUCACCUCUUAUUGCAAGUCCAUAGAUACAAAUCUAAUUAUUAAGUGCACAUAAUUAUUGUGCAAUGUCUCAUUUUAUAACCACAUUAACUCUAUUAUAGAAGUAAUAGACAUAGUUCCUUACAUAUAAGAUUCAAAGUUUUGGAUGGAGGGCCCAAAAAGAAAAAGUUGGGCUUCAAACAAUGUCCAGCCCUGAUAUGCAACAAACAAAAAAUGAUUGGUCUCACCCAAAAAACUCCUCCUCUCUUGCAAAAAAAGGUAAAAAAAUCAAAGUAUCGUACAUUCCAAUGAUUCCCCCAAAUAGGAAAAACUGGAGGAUUUCCGUAACGAGCCUGUGGCCAGUUCACGGUGUACAUCCUCUCCAGGACAAGUGGGAACUAUAUGUGGUUUUAUGUCUCCUUCAC